GAGGGUAUAGCUCAGUGGUAGAGCUCAUACCUAGCAUGCAUGAGGUCCUGGGUUCAAUCCCCAGUACCUCCA
RNAcentral lists this transfer RNA (72 nucleotides) under Camelus bactrianus (Bactrian camel). It matches the Rfam family "tRNA". Rfam says of the family: Transfer RNA (tRNA) molecules are approximately 80 nucleotides in length. Their secondary structure includes four short double-helical elements and three loops (D, anti-codon, and T loops). Lineage: Eukaryota; Metazoa; Chordata; Mammalia; Artiodactyla; Camelidae. RNAcentral also lists the same sequence under 1 other name. The record is from Rfam by way of RNAcentral.